Molecule: long non-coding RNA, 6827 nt
Filed under: Podarcis lilfordi (Lilford's wall lizard)
Lineage: Eukaryota; Metazoa; Chordata; Lepidosauria; Squamata; Lacertidae
Source: RNAcentral
GACCUGCCAGCUUCAGGUCCUUUGGGGAUUAAAUAAAGAAGUGGAAAGGCUCCUGCCACUUAUCAGCUUGCUUUCCAAAGCCCAACUUCUCUAGAGAGCUCACCAUGGCCUGGGCGUUGUCCUUCCUUGUCCUUCUCGGCUAUCUUUCAGGUAAGGGUGUAGAGGACUCACUCUCCAUGGAGGCAGAGCCAAUGACAACAUUGUGCAUUGAUGAAAGGGCCUGUCUGAUACUUGUGAGCACAGUAAACGAAUCCGUGUCAAUUAUCCUUUUCCCAAAGGUGUCAUUUCACAGCCUACUAUGACCCAACCUGCCUCUGUGGCUGCACCCCCGAGACAAACUACUAAACUCCCCUGCACCGCCAGUGGAAGCGUGAGCUAUAUUCUCUGGAUUCAGCAAAAACCUGGCCAGGCCCCUCGCUUUGUGCACUGUGAUACUUGCAGCAGCAAAGGACAAGGGAUCCCAGAUCGGUUCACCGCUUCCCGCUCUGGAACCACAGGCUAUUUGACCAUCACCGGCACUGAGACUGAAGAUGAGGCUGACUAUUACUGUGUUGCUUGGUUCAGCAGUAUGUGGCACAGUGCUAAAGUCUGAUGGGGAACUGAGACAGAAACCUUCUCCCUCCCUCCAGUGCAGGGAGCUGAGAAAUAUUGCAGUGUUUGGUUUGAUGUGUGAGUGCCGGGAGGCGGUUGGAGGAUGGAUGGCGGCCAACAGAUUGAGGUUGCAUCUUGAUAAGACAGAAGUACUGUUUUGGGGGGACAGGGGCAUAGCUGUCAACUUUUCCCUUUUUUUAAGGGAAAUUCCCUCAUUCCGAAUAGGAUUCCUUGCAAGAAAAGGGAAAAGUUGACAGCUAUGGAAAGGGGGCAGGUGGGUGUGGAGGACUUCCUGGUCCUGAAUGGGGUAACUGUGCCCCUGAAAGACCAAGUGCACAACCUGCAAGUCCUUUUGGACUCACAGCUGUCCAUGGAGGCGAAGGUCAAUUCUGUGUCCAGGGCUGCUGUCUAUCAACUCCAUCUGGUACGCACGCUGAGACCCUACUUGCCCACAGACUGUCUCGUCAGAGUGGUGCAUGCUCUGGUUAUCUCCCGCUUGGACUACUGCAAUGCACUCUACAUGGGCUACCUUUGAAGGUGAUCCAGAAACUACAACUAAUCCAGAAUGCAGCAGCUAGACUGGUGACUGGGAGUGGCCACUGAGACCACAUAACACAGGUCCUGAAAGACCCACAUUGGCUCCCAGCACGCUUCCGAGCACAAUUCAAAGAAUUGGUGCUGACUUUUCAAGCCCUAAACGGCCUUGGCCCAGUAGACCUGAAGGAGCGUCUCCACUCCCAUUGUUCUGCCCGGACACUGAGGUCCAGCUCCAAGGGCCUUCUGGUGGUUCCCUCACUGUGAGGUUACAGGGAAACAGGCAGAGGGCCUUCUCGGUAGUGGUGCCUGCCCUGUGGAAUGCCCUCCCUUCAAAUGUCAUGGAAAUAAACAACUACCAGACUUUUAUUUAAAAGUCUCCCUGGUCUCGGAUUCUGUCAGUCCUUUCUAUCAAUUCCAUAUGGUCCAUCAACCUGGUGAUCUUCUGUCCGAGGCUCUUAACUCUUUUCCAUGUCCCUUCUGCAGAUCUUCUUCAUAUUUAUACAUGCACUUUACUUUAUCUUCUGCUGAUCUUGUUCUUAAUUUCCUUCCUUUGGCACUGAGGAGUAGAUCUCGGGGAAACUCCAACCUAACAAUGUCUUUAUUCCUUCUCAACAGGUCAGCCCAUUCUCCAUAGUCAGAACUAAAGUCCAAAAGAUAUUUCAGAGCGUGUUUCAAAAUCCCUCCAAAGCUAAAGGCCCCCACAACUCCAAUCUCCCCCUGACCCAAAUCCAAAUCCCAAAAGCCAGAACAUCCCUGCAUAAGGGGAUCUAUCCAACUUUCCUUCUCCAAUCCAAGUGGGACUCCAUCCCUCCAAAUCUGGCUUUCUCUAGAUUCAAUCGUAAAAGGCAACAGCUUAUAUUCAUCAAAUUGCCUCUGCAAGGCCGGGCUCUCUCCACUUGUAUUACUUGGGAUUCAACAACAGCUUCCUCCUUCGUCUUCUCCACAGCUUGCCAUGUCAGAACAGAUUCCUGAAUCGAUUCCUGAGUAGUUUCUGUAUAAGUAUUCACUUUUUGUCCCAAACCAGUCAUUUUUUGUCCCAAAUUGUCAAUUUUAAUAAUCAUCACAUCCAUCUUCUCAUGAAGCUGUUCCAAUAAAGCACUUGUCUUGCAAAAUGCAAUCACUAAGGCUUCUUCCGUCGACAUUCUUGUCCAAGGUCAAUCUCUGAUUCUCACGGUCUUUAAUCUCUGCAGCUGGAAAAUUCCCCAGCUCCACUCCUGCAACAGUUUCAAAAGCUCCCUCUAGGGGAAACAAUUUCUAUUUGUAUCCGUCCUUUUAAACGCAGAUCCAGCAACAAAGUUAGUUUCGAUUUUCAGUUACUUUUGCUCUUUUUUAAGUGCAAAAGGAAACAAUGGAAACAAUAUAUUUCUCUUGUUUAACUAUCUGUCAACAUACGUUUUAUUCACAGUCAAUGAACUUUCCCAAAACAUCGAUCUUACUGGCAGCCCGUUCCCAGGUUCAGAACGGUGGUGAUUUAUCUUUCUUCACUCUCUCUCCUGCAGGCUUAGGCGAUCUAAAAUUUCCCCCCUCUUCUCCUGCUUCCAAGGGGGGUUUAGUAAUUUUAACCGAUGGAGAUUUAAUCCUUUACAAAAGGCUUUCCAGACUUUAGCUUGCAAACGUCUUUGCUUCAAUCUAUUUACAAAAGAGGAAGGCGGACUUCCUGUUUGAAACCUUCCCGUUUCGGUACCAAAUUAAAAUGUUUAGAGAUCCAAUUUUCCGUUCUACUCACGGGUAGUUGUUUAAAGUCCAAUUGUCCACAGGAAAAAGUCAGCGCUUUCCGGCAACAGCAAUGCGGCUUCACUCCGUGAAAGAAGCAGUCGAUUCGAAGCACCGCGCCGCUCACCCCACGUCGCUCCGGAUCCCCGAAACCGGGUUUCCCCGCGAGUAGGGGAGGCGCAAAAGGUGCCAGCCAAAUCCCACGUCCACAGGCUUCUCCCGCCUGUGGUUUUUAGUGGGUCUCCGCCUCGCCGUGGCGGUCAGACCCUGAUUUCCACGGAGCGGAUUCCGCCCGAUCAGAGGAAAUCCGCCAUUGCCGGAGGCGCUAACCCGGAAGUCCCAACAACUACCAGACUUUUAGAAGGCAUCUGAAGGCAGCCCUGUUUAGGGAAGUUUUUAAUGUGUGAUGUUUUAUUCUGGUGGGAGCUGCCCAGAGUGGCUGGGGAAACCCAGGUGGAUGGGCAGGGUAUAAAUAAUAAAUGAUUAUAUUAUUAUUAUUAUUAUUAUUAUUAUUAUUAUUAUUAUUGAUGUGUGCCUGAGUCUCUCUCAAUAGUACUGCUGAAUGGGGCCAAAAUGGCAUCUAAUCCCAGCCCCUUCUCUGAGUUGUGCUCACCAAGCAACCACUCAUGCACAGGGCAAUGCGCACUGCAGGUGGCCACAUAUCAUUGCAGCUGGAUUUAAGAAAGGUGCCUGUAGAGCAAACAAUAAGAGCACAUUGUACAGCAAACAUCUGCACAUUGUUGAACUUUUUUUACAUGUGGCACAGAUGUUAAGAUACAACAAAAUCCCCCACACAGGAAGAAUAAGGAGUGCUUCACUUGUAGUUCUAAAAAUCAUUUAAUAUGUCAACACGAAUGGAAGAUAUUAAUAUUGUAGCUGUUGUAUAAGGGAUUAUUAUUUUGACCAGAAUGUAAUUGAAAUUAAUAAGAUUUUGGAACACAGAAAUAAAGAAAAUCAUCAAAUCUAGCAUGUGCAGGGGCACCCAAAUUAUAUAAUUUGCUGUUUGAAAAUUGGUAUUAGUAAUUGUAUUAUAAUUUGGUAUUGUUAUAACGAGGCUAUUAUUGAUUGUAAUUGAAAAAUUAAUAAAAAUUAUUAUCAAAAAGAUAUAAAAAAUCAUAGCAUAGUUCAGAUGCAACAAAAUGGUUGGAAGAAAUUUAAAGACUAUUUACAGAAAUAUUGCAAAAUCAAUGAAUGUUAGAAUGAUGUUAGAAUGAAGUUAAGUGGUUUAAGCAGCAAUGUUAUAAAGGUGUAUGUAAAAAUGGUCUGUUAACAGGUGAGAAUCCAAAGUUAUAACAUAUUAAAUUAAAGGAUUAAGAGAAAAUAAAGAGGGAAAGAAAUUGCUGAAUUAACUAACUGAAUUGGAAUACAAAAAAGGGAGGUAUGAGGAGGUCAGGGAAGCAAGGAAAUGAAUGUAAGGCAUGGAAAGAUUGAUGUAUUUUUUUAAAGUGCUUUUUAUUCUUUUUUCUGUAUUUUGUAUUUUUCUUGUAUUUUUACUUGUUCUUUUUCCUUCUUCUUUAUUUAUGUAAUUCUUUUCUUUGAAACCUUAAUAAAUAUCAUUUUUUUUAAAAAAACAGAUACAAUAAAAUCGCUCUAUGAAGUUUGGUGCUGGUUAAAACUACCCCCAUUUUCUUGCAUGGAUAGGCACAGUAAUGCUCUUAUUAAUAUCUGCAGGAUUUAAAUAAGCACUUCUUGCACUUCUCAGGUACUUCUCAGGUAAGGGUGUGAAGGUCUCAUCUUUCUUUGGCAUAUUUCCCAACAGCAGAACUAUUUAUAUUGUUCCUUGAUCACCAUGCCUGUCUGAUAUUUGUGAGCACCAAAAAAUAAAAAUAAAAUCAAGGUCUUUUUCAUAAUAUUUUUUAUUAAUUUUCAAUCACAGUCCAAUAAUAGCCUCAGGAACGCUUUCCAAGGACACUGAAUCUGCCAGCUGUCUCUCUCUUGGUGUUUCCUCUUCUAGCUGUUACUCACCCAGCAUUUCCCAGCUUCCCCCUCUGUGCUAUGCCCUUCUGCAAAGCACUGUUCUAAAUCAAUACUGCCCUCCUGUCCUUGGGAAGGUUCAGGAGAAGGGGGUGGGGGCGGCCAAAUGGCUGACAGAUGCCAAAGAUGUGCUGCCUGUCGAAUACGCCAGAAAACUCUUCCACGAAGUUUACUGUUGCUUAAAACCAGCCGUGGGGGACCCUGAAUUGAUGCGUCACAAUCCUGUCCUGAUGACAUCACUGGGUUAACCUGGUAACAACAUUAGUCUUAAAAUAUCUGCAAGAUUUUAUUAAAAACAAAACAAAAACUAGUCCUCAUCAGCCAAAGGGGUUUGGUAAUGGAAUGAAGGGUUGUGCUGAAACUGCUGAGUAUUUCUUGGAUGGAAUGGACCCUACUAGGGGUCAAGUUUGCUAUUUCAUAUAUAUUUUUUCCUUUGGGCUCCAACCACCAUCUGUAUGUGGCCCCUGAAAGGUUCUCUGUGAGGGAAUAUGGCCCUGGGGUUUAUUCUUCACUUGUGAACUAGAAGUUAGACCCAGAUGUUGAUACUGUGUCCUGUGCACAGGAAAGGGAGGCUUCAGCAGAAACCUCCUUGGCAACUUGAAAUAAUUUUGACUGGAUUGGGAUGUAGCCUGAGAAGAGGUGCUUGGGAGGAUUAUCAAGGACAGGGCCUGUUAAGACCCUUCCUCAUUCUCUAAUUCCUUUAUUUCUUAAGUUUCCAUCUUCCUUCCUUCCAAUUGCUCUCUCUCAACACUUAUUAGUGUGCAUAAAGAGCUUAUGUCUCUUAGCCUGGAACAGAACCAGGAACCUUCCCUCUUUGCUUCAAAUAAUCUUCCUCUUGCAAAUGUAUUCUCUGUUCAUUGGCCAGGAUACAACGUCGUGCCUCCUCAGAGGAGGAGUGGCUUUUCUAGCAAAGCCAAUGGACACCAAGAACAUAAUAUAACAGACCCUUCAUUUAUUUCCUGCAGUAUUUAAGAAGGAAGGAGGAAAUCUCCCUUCAGUUAUCUGUUUCUUUUAGAGAGUCAGACUCCUCUAGGGAGCUCACCAUGGCCUGGGCUCUGUCCUUCCUUGCACUUCUCAACUGUUUCUCAGGUAAGGGUAUGUAGGACUCGCUUUCCAUAGGUUUCUGAGUCCACAACGCCAAUUAUAUCCUAAGUUUAUCGUAGCACGCUUAUAGUAUUCAUGAGCAAAACAAGUGAAUCAAGGUAAUUUCUUCUUCUUUCUUUUUGAAAAGGUGUCCUUUCUCAACACACAAUGACUCAACCGGCUUCCGAGUCUGUGUCCCCAGCACAAACAGUUAAGCUCUCCUGCACUGCCAGCAGCAGCGUGAGCACUAUUUACUGGUAUCAACAGAGAGCUGGCCAGGCCCCUCGCUUUGUGCACUGUGAUGGCUGCAGCAGGGGAACAGGGAUCCCAGAUCGGUUCACCGCUUCCCGCUCUGGAACCACAGGCUAUUUGACCAUCAGCAGCAUCCAGGCUGCAGACGAGGCUAAGUAUUACUGUGGGGCUUGGUUUAACAGUGGCAGCUUGCUGCACGGUGAUUGUGUCUGAUGGGGAACUGAUACAAAAACCUUCAAUCUUCCUCUUAAUUUGGUCUGAAUGCGUAUGCGACAACAGCUGCACGGAUGUUAUUGGCACAAAAAUGGAAAGAUACAACAACGCCGACCAAGGAAGAAUGGCAAGCCAAACUGCUGGAAUAUACUGAAAUGGCAAAAUGAACUGUGAGACUUAGGAACCAAGAAGAAAAGAACUUUUAAAAAUAAUGGGGAAAAUUUAUAAUAUACCUAAAAGAUUAUUGUAAGCAAAUCCAAACAUUAACUGGACUCUAAGAAUCACUUGCAAAGUAAAAGAAGUUUAUUGUUAAUUUAUUUAUAUGUAGGCUCCCCCUCAAAAAAAAUAAUAGUAGAAGGGUCCAUGAAAGGGAGGGGGGAGUUAUGAGAUUCAGAGAAUCUCAUGAAAUGAGUAUAUAAAUGUUGAUAUAAAUUUGUAUUUGUAAAAACCAAUAAAGAUAUUUC